This 455-nucleotide ribosomal RNA is filed under the name uncultured bacterium. RNAcentral describes it as "bacterial SSU rRNA". It matches the Rfam family "Bacterial small subunit ribosomal RNA", at positions 1 to 507 of the family's 1533-position model. The record is from RNAcentral.
GACGGUAGUUGAUCAGUGACUACAGAACGACGCUGGCGGCAGGCUUAACACAUGCAAGUCGAGCGCCCCGCAAGGGGAGCGGCAGACGGGUGAGUAACGCGUGGGAAUCUACCCAUCUCUACGGAAUAACUCAGGGAAACUUGUGCUAAUACCGUAUACGCCCUUCGGGGGAAAGAUUUAUCGGAGAUGGAUGAGCCCGCGUUGGAUUAGCUAGUUGGUGGGGUAAAGGCCUACCAAGGCGACGAUCCAUAGCUGGUCUGAGAGGAUGAUCAGCCACACUGGGACUGAGACACGGCCCAGACUCCUACGGGAGGCAGCAGUGGGGAAUAUUGGACAAUGGGCGCAAGCCUGAUCCAGCCAUGCCGCGUGAGUGAUGAAGGCCCUAGGGUUGUAAAGCUCUUUCACCGGUGAAGAUAAUGACGGUAACCGGAGAAGAAGCCCCGGCUAACUUCGUG